GAUGAACGCUGGCGGCGUGCCUAAUACAUGCAAGUCGAGCGAACAGACGAGGAGCUUGCUCCUCUGACGUUAGCGGCGGACGGGUGAGUAACACGUGGAUAACCUACCUAUAAGACUGGGAUAACUUCGGGAAACCGGAGCUAAUACCGGAUAAUAUAUUGAACCGCAUGGUUCAAUAGUGAAAGACGGUUUUGCUGUCACUUAUAGAUGGAUCCGCGCCGCAUUAGCUAGUUGGUAAGGUAACGGCUUACCAAGGCAACGAUGCGUAGCCGACCUGAGAGGGUGAUCGGCCACACCGGAACUGAGACACGGUCCAGACUCCUACGGGAGGCAGCAGUAGGGAAUCUUCCGCAAUGGGCGAAAGCCUGACGGAGCAACGCCGCGUGAGUGAUGAAGGUCUUCGGAUCGUAAAACUCUGUUAUUAGGGAAGAACAAAUGUAUAAGUAACUAUGCACGUCUUGACGGUACCUAAUCAGAAAGCCACGGCUAACUACGUG
This 497-nucleotide ribosomal RNA is filed under the name uncultured bacterium. RNAcentral describes it as "partial 16S ribosomal RNA". It matches the Rfam family "Bacterial small subunit ribosomal RNA", at positions 28 to 507 of the family's 1533-position model. The record is from RNAcentral.